This 497-nucleotide ribosomal RNA is filed under the name uncultured bacterium. RNAcentral's name for it is "partial 16S ribosomal RNA". It matches the Rfam family "Bacterial small subunit ribosomal RNA", at positions 28 to 507 of the family's 1533-position model. The record is from RNAcentral.
GAUGAACGCUGGCGGCGUGCCUAAUACAUGCAAGUCGAGCGAACAGACGAGGAGCUUGCUCCCCCGACGUUAGCGGCGGACGGGUGAGUAACACGUGGAUAACCUACCUAUAAGACUGGGAUAACUUCGGGAAACCGGAGCUAAUACCGGAUAAUAUAUUGCACCGCAUGGUUCAAUAGUGAAAGACGGUUUUGCUGUCACUUAUAGACGGCUCCGCGCCGCAUUAGCUAGUUGGUUAGGUAACGGCUUACCAAGGCAACGAUGGGUACCCGACCUGAGAGCGUGAUCGGCCACACGGGAUGUGAGACACGUUCCAGACUCCUACGGGAGGCAGCAGUAGGGAAUCUUCCGCAAUGGGCGAAAGCCUGACGGAGCAACGCCGCGUGAGUGAUGAAGGUCUUCGGAUCGUAAAACUCUGUUAUUAGGGAAGAACAAAUGUGUAAGUAACUAUGCACGUCUUGACGGUACCUAAUCAGAAAGCCACGGCUAACUACGUG